Molecule: ribosomal RNA, 440 nt
Filed under: uncultured bacterium
Lineage: Bacteria
Description: partial 16S ribosomal RNA
Rfam family: Bacterial small subunit ribosomal RNA
Source: RNAcentral
CCUACGGGUGGCAGCAGUGGGGAAUAUUGCACAAUGGGGGGAACCCUGAUGCAGCGACGCCGCGUGAGUGAAGAAGGAAUUCGGUAUGUAAAGCUCUAUCAGCAGGGAAGAAAAUGACGGUACCUGAGUAAGAAGCACCGGCUAACGACGUGCCAGCAGCCGCGGUAAUACGGAGGGGGCAAGCGUUAUCCGGAUUUACUGGGUGUAAAGGGGGCGUAGACGGCUGUGCAAGUCUGGAGUGAAAGGCGGGGGCUCAACCCCCGGACUGCGCUGGAAACUGUACGGCUGGAGUGCAGGAGAGGUAAGCGGAAUUCGUAGUGUAGCGGUGAAAUGCGUAGAUAUUAGGAGGAACACCAGUGGCGAAGGCGGCUUACUGGACUGUAACUGACGUUGAGGCUCGAAAGCGUGGGGAGCAAACAGGAUUAGAUACCCGAGUAGUC